UACGUAGGGGGGCUAGCGUUGUCCGGAAUCAUUGGGCGUAAAGCGCGUGUAGGCGGUUCGGUAAGUCCGCUGUGAAAGUCGGGGGGCUCAACCCUCGGAUGCCGGUGGAUACUGUCGGGCUUGAGUACGGAAGAGGCGAGUGGAAUUCCUGGUGUAGCGGUGAAAUGCUUAGAUAUGACAUAGAACACCAAUUGCGAAGGCAGCUAACUACAGGGUUAUUGACACUGAGGCUCGAAAGCGUGGGGAGUCAAACGGAAUAGAA
This 262-nucleotide ribosomal RNA is filed under the name uncultured bacterium. RNAcentral describes it as "partial 16S ribosomal RNA". It matches the Rfam family "Bacterial small subunit ribosomal RNA", at positions 524 to 783 of the family's 1533-position model. The record is from RNAcentral.